Molecule: ribosomal RNA, 429 nt
Filed under: Pseudomonadota bacterium
Lineage: Bacteria; Pseudomonadati; Pseudomonadota
Description: Proteobacteria bacterium partial 16S ribosomal RNA
Rfam family: Bacterial small subunit ribosomal RNA
Source: RNAcentral
UGGGGAAUAUUGGACAAUGGGCGAAAGCCUGAUCCAGCCAUGCCGCGUGUGUGAAGAAGGUCUUCGGAUUGUAAAGCACUUUAAGUUGGGAGGAAGGGCAGUAAGCGAAUACCUUGCUGUUUUGACGUUACCGACAGAAUAAGCACCGGCUAACUCUGUGCCAGCAGCCGCUGUAAUACAGAGGGUGCAAGCGUUAAUCGGAAUUACUGGGCGUAAAGCGCGCGUAGGUGGUUCGUUAAGUUGAAUGUGAAAGCCCCGGGCUCAACCUGGGAACUGCAUCCAAAACUGGCGAGCUAGAGUAGGGCAGAGGGUGGUGGAAUUUCCUGUGUAGCGGUGAAAUGCGUAGAUAUAGGAAGGAACACCAGUGGCGAAGGCGACCACCUGGGCUCAUACUGACACUGAGGUGCGAAAGCGUGGGGAGCAAACAGG